This 372-nucleotide ribosomal RNA is filed under the name uncultured soil bacterium. RNAcentral describes it as "bacterial SSU rRNA". It matches the Rfam family "Bacterial small subunit ribosomal RNA", at positions 26 to 418 of the family's 1533-position model. The record is from RNAcentral.
AGAACGAACGCUGGCGGCAUGCCUAAUACAUGCAAGUCGAACGAACUCUUCGGAGUUAGUGGCGCACGGGUGCGUAACGCGUGGGAAUCUGCCCCUUGGUUCGGAAUAACAGUUGGAAACGACUGCUAAUACCGGAUGAUGACGAAAGUCCAAAGAUUUAUCGCCAAGGGAUGAGCCCGCGUAGGAUUAGCUAGUUGGUGAGGUAAAGGCUCACCAAGGCAACGAUCCUUAGCUGGUCUGGAGAGGAUGAUCAGCCACACUGGGACUGAGACACGGCCCAGACUCCGUACGGGGAGCAGCAGGUGGGAAUAGUGGACAAGUGGGACGCAAGCCUAGACUCCAGCCAGUACCGGCGGUAGGGUAGAAGGAGGU